This 440-nucleotide ribosomal RNA is filed under the name uncultured bacterium. RNAcentral describes it as "partial 16S ribosomal RNA". It matches the Rfam family "Bacterial small subunit ribosomal RNA", at positions 338 to 795 of the family's 1533-position model. The record is from RNAcentral.
CCUACGGGGGGCAGCAGUGGGGAAUAUUGCACAAUGGGCGGAACCCUGAUGCAGCGACGCCGCGUGGGUGAUGAAGUACUUCGGUUUGUAAAGCGCUGUCAGCAGGGAAGAAAAUGACGGUACCUGACUAAGAAGCCCCGGCGAAUUACGUGCCAGCAGCCGCGGUAAUACGUAGGGGGCAAGCGUUAUCCGGAUUUACUGGGUGGAAAGGUAGCGUAGACGGCGUGCCGAGUCUGAUGUGAAAGCCCGGGGCUCAACCCCGGGAUUGAAGUGGAGACUGGCAUGCUGGAGUGCCGGAGGGGCAAGCGGAAUUCCGAGUGUAGCGGUGAAAUGCGUAGAUAUUAGGAGGAACACCGGUGGCGAAGGCGGCUUGCUGGACGGUAACUGACGUUGAGGCACGAAAGCGUGGGGAGCAAACAGGAUUAGAUACCCCAGUAGUC